RNAcentral lists this ribosomal RNA (449 nucleotides) under uncultured bacterium. RNAcentral's name for it is "partial 16S ribosomal RNA". It matches the Rfam family "Bacterial small subunit ribosomal RNA", at positions 29 to 523 of the family's 1533-position model. The record is from RNAcentral.
AACGAACGCUGGCGGCAUGCCUAACACAUGCAAGUCGAACGAGAUCUUCGGGUCUAGUGGCGCACGGGUGCGUAACGCGUGGGAAUCUGCCCGUUGGUUCGGAAUAACAGUUGGAAACGACUGCUAAUACCGGAUGAUGACGAAAGUCCAAAGAUUUAUCGCCAGAGGAUGGGCCGGCGUGGGAUUAGCUAGUUGGUGUGGUAAAGGCGCACCAAGGCGACGAUCCUUAGCUGGGCUGAGAGGAUGAUCAGCCGCACUGGGACUGAGACACGGCCCAGAAUCCUACGGGAGGCAGCAGUGGGGAAGAUUGGACAAUGGGCGAGAGCCUGAUACAGAAAUGCCGCGUGAGUGAUAAAGGCCUUAGGGUUGUAAAGCUCUUUUACCCGGGAUGAUAAUGACAGUACCGGGAGAAUAAGCUCCGGCUAACUCCGUGCCAGCCGCCGCCGUAA